GAUGAACGCUGGCGGCGUGCCUAAUACAUGCAAGUCGAGCGAACAGACGAGGAGCUUGCUCCUCUGACGUUAGCGGCGGACGGGUGAGUAACACGUGGAUAACCUACCUAUAAGACUGGGAUAACUUCGGGAAACCGGAGCUAAUACCGGAUAAUAUAUUGAACCGCAUGGUUCAAUAGUGAAAGACGGUUUUGCUGUCACUUAUAGAUGGAUCCGCGCCGCAUUAGCUAGUUGGUAAGGUAACGGCUUACCAAGGCAACGAUGCGUAGCCGACCUGAGAGGGUGAUCGGCCACACUGGAACUGAGACACGGUCCAGACUCCUACGGGAGGCAGCAGUAGGGAAUCUUCCGCAUUGGGCGAAAGCCUGACGGAGCAACGCCGCGUGAGUGAUGAAGGUCUUCGGAUCGUAAAACUCUGUUAUUAGGGAAGAACAGAUGUGUAAGUAACUAUGCACGUCUUGACGGUACCUAAUCAGAAAGCCACGGCUAACUACGUG
Molecule: ribosomal RNA, 497 nt
Filed under: uncultured bacterium
Lineage: Bacteria
Description: partial 16S ribosomal RNA
Rfam family: Bacterial small subunit ribosomal RNA
Source: RNAcentral